GGAUUAGAUACCCUGGUAGUCUACGCUGUAAACGAUGAGUGCUAGAUAUCGGGACAUUAGUUUCGGUGUCGCAGCUAACGCAUUAAGCACUCCGCCUGGGGAGUACGGUCGCAAGAUUAAAACUCAAAGGAAUUGACGGGGACCCGCACAAGCGGUGGAGCAUGUGGUUUAAUUCGAUGCAACGCGAAGAACCUUACCAACCCUUGACAUCCCGAUCGCGAGGACCAGAGAUGGACCUCUUCAGUUCGGCUGGAUCGGUGACAGGUGUUGCAUGGCUGUCGUCAGCUCGUGCUG
This 294-nucleotide ribosomal RNA is filed under the name uncultured bacterium. Its description in RNAcentral is "partial 16S ribosomal RNA". It matches the Rfam family "Bacterial small subunit ribosomal RNA", at positions 775 to 1067 of the family's 1533-position model. The record is from RNAcentral.